Molecule: ribosomal RNA, 378 nt
Filed under: uncultured bacterium
Lineage: Bacteria
Description: bacterial SSU rRNA
Rfam family: Bacterial small subunit ribosomal RNA
Source: RNAcentral
GACGAACGCUGGCGGCGUGCUUAACACAUGCAAGUCGAGCGGUAAGGCCCUUUCGGGGGUACACGAGCGGCGAACGGGUGAGUAACACGUGGGUGACCUGCCCUCAGCUCUGGGAUAAGCCUGGGAAACCGGGUCUAAUACUGGAUAUGACUCCAUGACGCAUGUUGUGGGGUGGAAAGCCUUGUGCGGCUGAGGAUGGGCCCGCGGCCUAUCAGCUUGUUGGUGGGGUGAUGGCCUACCAAGGCGACGACGGGUAGCCGGCCUGAGAGGGCGACCGGCCACACUGGGACUGAGACACGGCCCAGACUCCUACGGGAGGCAGCAGUGGGGAAUCUUGCGCAAUGGGCGAAAGCCUGACGCAGCGACGCCGCGUGAGGA